UACGUAGGGUGCGAGCGUUAAUCGGAAUUACUGGGCGUAAAGCGUGCGCAGGCGGUUUUGUAAGACAGAUGUGAAAUCCCCGGGCUUAACCUGGGAACUGCGUUUGUGACUGCAAGACUCGAGUGCGGCAGAGGGGGGUGGAAUUCCACGUGUAGCAGUGAAAUGCGUAGAGAUGUGGAGGAACACCGAUGGCGAAGGCAGCCCCCUGGGUCGACACCGACGCUCAUGCACGAAAGCGUGGGGAGCAAACAGG
RNAcentral lists this ribosomal RNA (253 nucleotides) under uncultured bacterium. RNAcentral's name for it is "partial 16S ribosomal RNA". It matches the Rfam family "Bacterial small subunit ribosomal RNA", at positions 524 to 776 of the family's 1533-position model. The record is from RNAcentral.